GCCCAGCCGUAAACUUUUAUUUACAUCUAAAUCGCCGGGGAACUACGAGCCGAGCUUAAAACCCAAAGGACUUGACGGUACCCCAUAUCCCCCUAGAGGAGCCUGUCCUGUAAUCGACAAUCCACGUUUAACCUCACCAUUUUUAGUUUAUCAGCCUGUAUACCUCCGUCGUCAGCUUACCACGUGAGCGCCUAUUAGUGAGCCCGAUGCUAUUUCACCAACACGUCAGGUCAAGGUGCAGCAAAUGAAAUGGGAAGAGAUGGGCUACACUUUCUAUUUUAGAAGAAACGAAAAACUAUUUAUGAAAUCUAGUUAGAAGGCGGAUUUAGUAGUAAAAAGGAAUUAGCAUGUCCAUUUUAACCCGGCACUGGGGUGUGU
RNAcentral lists this ribosomal RNA (378 nucleotides) under Capensibufo rosei. RNAcentral's name for it is "partial 12S ribosomal RNA". It matches the Rfam family "Bacterial small subunit ribosomal RNA", at positions 794 to 1384 of the family's 1533-position model. Lineage: Eukaryota; Metazoa; Chordata; Amphibia; Anura; Bufonidae. The record is from RNAcentral.